This 312-nucleotide unclassified non-coding RNA is filed under the name uncultured Fusarium. Its description in RNAcentral is "partial contains 5.8S ribosomal RNA, internal transcribed spacer 2, and large subunit ribosomal RNA". The stretch from base 1 to 102 matches the Rfam family "5.8S ribosomal RNA", at positions 53 to 154 of the family's 154-position model. Lineage: Eukaryota; Fungi; Ascomycota; Sordariomycetes; Hypocreales; Nectriaceae. The record is from RNAcentral.
ACGCGAUAAGUAAUGUGAAUUGCAGAAUUUAGUGAAUCAUCGAAUCUUUGAACGCACAUUGCGCCCGCCAGUAUUCUGGCGGGCAUGCCUGUCCGAGCGUCAUUACAACCCUCAGGCCCCCGGGCCUGGUGUUGGGGAUCGGCGGAGCCCUCCGGGGCACACGCCGUCCCCCAAAUUCAGUGGCGGUCUCGCUGCAGCCUCCAUUGCGUAGUAGCUAACACCUCGCAACUGGAAGGCGGCGCGGCCACGCCGUAAAACCCCCAACUUCUGAAUGUUGACCUCGGAUCAGGUAGGAAUACCCGCUGAACUUAA